CCUAACGGGAGGCAGCAGUGGGGAAUAUUGCGCAAUGGGCGAAAGCCUGACGCAGCGACGCCGCGUGAGGGAUGAAGGUCUUCGGAUCGUAAACCUCUGUCAGCAGGGAAGAACGGUCACUGUGCUAAUCAGCAGUGAAUUGACGGUACCUGCAAAGGAAGCACCGGCUAACUCCGUGCCAGCAGCCGGGGUAAUACGGAGGGUGCGAGCGUUAAUCGGAAUUACUGGGCGUAAAGCGCUCGUAGGCGGUAUGUCAAGGCAAGGGUGAAAUCCCCGCGCUAAACGUGGGCACUGCCUUUGAAACUGGCAAACUUGAGUGUGUGAGGGGAUAGUGGAAUUCCUGGUGUAGGGGUGAAAUCCGUAGAUAUCUGGAGGAACAUCAGUGGCGAAGGCGACUAUCUGGCACAUAACUGACGCUGAGGAGCGAAAGCGUGGGUAGCAAACAGGAUUAGAUACCCGUGUAGUC
Molecule: ribosomal RNA, 466 nt
Filed under: uncultured bacterium
Lineage: Bacteria
Description: partial 16S ribosomal RNA
Rfam family: Bacterial small subunit ribosomal RNA
Source: RNAcentral